AGCCCUCCCAUUGGCUGCCUGCUCCUUGUUUACCGGGAGCUCGGCCAAUCAGCCAGGCCCGGCGGCGCGUGGACACGGUGUGCUGCUGCGGGGGGAGCGGUGGUGGGGCGAGUGCGCCGCCCGCGGGGGCGGGGGAAGCCGGCCCGGGAGGCGCGCCCCGGAGCCGCGCGGCCCUCGGGGCGCUGUUCCUGUUUCUCCAGGGUAUCCAGGCCAAGUUGCCCACACUGGCUUUAACCUUGUGAUUCAGCUGUCUCAGCCCCCCAAGUAAUUGGGACUACAGUUCACAGGGGUGAAGCACCUGCUACUUUUGCCCAUCAUCAAACCCCACGGGGGAAAGAACUACUACCCAUUUUCUUCAUCCCAGCUCCACAAGCUGAUCCAGGAGCAGAAAGACAUGAGCUUGUGGGGGACUAUGUAGCUGGAAUGGACUUGGCCCUGGGGACAUGACACUGACUUGAUGACAUCUAGUGGGAAGUCCUGAAGGUUCUUCUGCCAGAUGCCACACAUCACAUCCCAACUGCCCUGCUUUCUCUGCCACUCCUCAAGGCUCAGACUCUGAAGUGAGGCUGUCAGCUCCCAGACAAAGUCAGACUGUGGCUGAGAUUACUGGAAGUGGCUGUGAUGCCCAUCAGCAGAUGAUUGAGACGGGCUUCCUGGAACUGCCACUAACCUCCUGUAGACCAGGCUCCAUGUCCCAGCAGGUCCCAGCCCAGGCCCAACCUACAGCCAUAACCAUGGAAGGCAGAAGAGAAUGAAGAGGAUUACAGACAUCUGUGAAAGAAUAAGCUUUGCUUCAUGAUUUCUGUUCCUCACUUAAAAAAAAAUGCUGGACUAUGAAGACUAAACUGGUAACUUGAAAAUCAACUACCUGGCAUAUAUUUUAAGACAAUUGUUCAAUAUAAGAAGCCUAAGUUUGGAAUAGACAGGGACUUGCUAAAUGGCUGAAGCUGAACCAGAACUUGUGAUCUUCCUGCCUCAGGCUCUCCAGUUGUUAGAAUUACAGGGCUUAAACCCAGCCUCGCACUUGCCAGGCAAGGCCUCCACACCGAGCAUCCGCAGCCCUCCUGACCUUUGGUGCGGAGAAAGGCUGAGAGCCGGCUCUCCUGUGUUACAAACUUACCGUAGGCGGAGAAAAGGCACUGUGGACCCAAACAGGCUGUGUCCUGCCUGUGACAAAGGGGAAUAACACGUACCAACCCUAAAACGUUGUUCUGAAGUUGGUAUAGCCGCCACCCCCACCGCACCCAUGACACCGCCUCGCUGCCACUCGCUGCGACUGGGGCAGGGUGGCUGUCCGGCGGGACGGUGGGGUGGAGCAGGAGCUCUGUGACUCCUCGGGAAGUGGGGCUCUUGGGCUCCCUGAAGACAGGAUUGCAGGAGUCUUGAGUGUUUGUGGAAAAAAGUGUGCACCGUUCAGUUACUCUUCCCCCUGAUUUCUGGCAUUUAAUCUAAGGCCAUAGGAAUGUAGAGAUUGCAUGAAUGAAAUAUUUUUAAUAUUUCAACACUGAUACGUUAAAAGUAAAACAACAAAAAGACCCCCCAUAAUCCUGCAUAUCUGUGGUCAUUGUUUUGUAUCAGGCCCUGCAGAUCUGUACACAUCACUGAUGAUUCAAUUUUUUAAUACUAUUUUUAUUCAUUAUCAAAUUAUUUUCUGGGUGUCAGUGACACUUUAAAAUUUUUCUGUUUGAACUGGAGCACAGAGAUAGUCACUUUGUGGUCAUCUGACAUUACACAUACAGAGCACAAUUUUUCAUAUCUCUGGUUGUAUACAUAGUGUAUUCUCACCAAUUCGGGUCUUCAUACCUCUACUUAUAAUAAUCAAGUUCUUGUUUUUAAUUUUUUUCCAAAUCUACAGGGAAGUUGGAAGUAUUAUAUGAUUAUGGCGCACCUUUGAUCCAUUGCCAACAUUUUGUCACAUUUGCUUCUUUUUCUCUCAGAGGGUUGACUGCAGUUCCUUCAGUUUGGCACAUUCCCGAAUAUUCUUUCUUCCCCCCACUCCCCUUCCUCUUGGAGCUCAGAUACAAUGCAUUUCUCUUAGUUUUCUGGAGUUAGAACUUUCUGGGUACCAAGAGCCUUAGGCUUAGGCUGAAGGACUUUCACUUAUUCAUUCACACCCAGGAUUGGACUCAGGGCCCUUAAGAGCCGCAUCCCCAGGCCUUUUUAUAUCUUUUUUAGACACAGGGUCUCACUGAGUUGCUUAGGGUUUCGCUUCAGUUGCUGAAGCUGCCUUUGAACUCUCCAUCCUCCUGCCUCGGCCUCCCGAGCCGCUAGUUUACAGCUGGGUCUAAAUUCACACCGCAGGAAACCAACAGCAGCAGUAACGACGAACUACAGGAGGCCCGGGGUCCCGGGCUGCCCCCAGGACAUCCCUUCUGUGCCCCGGGUAGUUUUAAGCACACACAACGGGGGAACCUUGCUUUUCCACGGAGGAGCUGGAGCUUUCUCUCCAGAGUUUUUCUCUCGGUGGUCUUGGAAGCUGGAUCUGGGUCCGCAGUGCUCUCCUGGCUCCAAGAGUCAAGAGAGGUUUCUCUCAAGGGCUUUACUACUUAAGAAGUGGCGGGGAAGCAGCCUCCAGGCCCAAGCCUCGCAGUUGGGGCCAAAUAGGAGGCGGCCCGAGGGCGUAAGCAGGAGCAUGAAUUUCCUUAGACUCAUAUAACCCUACUGGCUACCAGCCUCCCUGGUGGUCUAGUGGUUAGGAUUCGGCGCUCUCACCGCCGCGGCCCGGGUUCGAUUCCCGGUCAGGGAAGGAGCUGCUUUUUAUUUCCUUCCUCGGUUUCUUGUAGAAAUUUGAAUAUUAUUUCUUCUAAUCACUUCUCCCAUCUACCAGAAGCUUAAAUUUUGAAAAUGUACAAAAACGCAAAGGAAACCACAGCUUAUAAUUCUACCAACCUGAAACUGUGUUUAAUACCCAGUUUAGGAAACAGAAAACGAAGAAUUUGUGCUGUAUAGGUACUAUUUUUAUUACCUGCUAUUUUACAGUUAACAAUGUAUUUCUAACUUGCCAGUAGAAAUAAAUAUUCAGAAACAUAUUUAUCUAAGUUUUGAAAAGAUGAAGUGUUUACUAGGUUUGGAAUUCAAAUUUACACAAUAAACCUGACUUUCAAUCUA
Non-coding RNA from Ictidomys tridecemlineatus (thirteen-lined ground squirrel), 3108 nucleotides. The record is from RefSeq and is a predicted model, not a curated record. NCBI's taxonomy places the organism in Eukaryota, Metazoa, Chordata, Mammalia, Rodentia, Sciuridae.